AUAGCUCAGUGGUAGAGCGGAUCGCUGUUAACGAUUAGGUCGCUGGUUCGAGCCCAGCU
RNAcentral lists this transfer RNA (59 nucleotides) under Candidatus Saccharibacteria bacterium 32-50-10. RNAcentral describes it as "tRNA-Asn". It matches the Rfam family "tRNA", at positions 7 to 64 of the family's 71-position model. From Rfam's summary of the family: Transfer RNA (tRNA) molecules are approximately 80 nucleotides in length. Their secondary structure includes four short double-helical elements and three loops (D, anti-codon, and T loops). Further hydrogen bonds mediate the characteristic L-shaped molecular structure. tRNAs have two regions of fundamental functional importance: the anti-codon, which is responsible for specific mRNA codon recognition, and the 3' end, to which the tRNAs corresponding amino acid is attached (by aminoacyl-tRNA synthetases). tRNAs cope with the degeneracy of the genetic code in two manners: having more than one tRNA (with a specific anti-codon) for a particular amino acid; and 'wobble' base-pairing, i.e. permitting non-standard base-pairing at the 3rd anti-codon position. The record is from RNAcentral. Lineage: Bacteria; Candidatus Saccharimonadota.